RNAcentral lists this signal recognition particle RNA (148 nucleotides) under Gorilla gorilla gorilla (western lowland gorilla). RNAcentral describes it as "Metazoan signal recognition particle RNA". It matches the Rfam family "Metazoan signal recognition particle RNA". From Rfam's summary of the family: The signal recognition particle (SRP) is a universally conserved ribonucleoprotein. It is involved in the co-translational targeting of proteins to membranes. Lineage: Eukaryota; Metazoa; Chordata; Mammalia; Primates; Hominidae. The record is from Rfam by way of RNAcentral.
GCCGGGCGUGGUGGCACGCGCCUGCAGUCCCAGCUACUCGGGAGGCUGAGGCAGGAGAAUCGCUUGAACCCAGGAGGCAGGGGUUGCAGUGAGCUGAGAUCGUGCCACUGCACUCCAGCCUGGGUGACAGAGCGAGACUCUGUCUCAG